Molecule: RNase P RNA, 343 nt
Filed under: Candidatus Aerophobota bacterium
Lineage: Bacteria; Candidatus Aerophobota
Description: RNase P RNA component class A
Rfam family: Bacterial RNase P class A
About the family: Ribonuclease P (RNase P) is a ubiquitous endoribonuclease, found in archaea, bacteria and eukarya as well as chloroplasts and mitochondria.
Source: RNAcentral
AUGAGAGAAGGGGUGACCGCGGGGGAAGAAAAAUCCCCUGAGGAAAGUCCGGGCACCCUGAAGUGACACUGGGUAACUCCCAGAGGGGGCGACCUCUGGAUAGUGCCACAGAAACAAUACCACCUGGAAGGUAGAACUUCCAGGAAAGGGUGAAAUGGUGGGGUAAGAGCCCACCAGCAGGGAAGUGAUUCCCUGGCUGGGUAAACCCUGUCGGGUGCAAGGCCAAGUAGGAGGUUUAACCUCGGGUGGGCCGCUUGAGGCCCGGGGUAACCUGGGUCCCAGAUAAAUGGUCACCGCCGGAUACCUCCGGUAACAGAACCCGGCUUACACUUCUCUCAUCUCC